UCUCUCAUCAUCUCUCUCUUUCUCUCUCGCCCGCGCUCUCUUCCUCUCUCUCUCUCUUGAUCCUUGGCUGAAAUCAUGGAAGUUAAUUGAAGAAAAAACGUCGAAUUUAGGAACGAGGUUUGGUCGAGUGGGGUAUAGGAAGGGAAUUUGAGGUUUUAAUCGGGAAAUCCCCAAUUCACAUUAUUGGCAGAAUUAGGGUUGCGUGAAGAAGGCUUUAGCAAGGGGCUACAACGAUCAGGUCGCCUACGGUGGUGGUCGCAUCAGAUGGUCGCCGGAAUCGGGUGAAGAAGAUAAGCUGUCCAAAAUCUGAAUUUUAGCUUUUGGUCCUUUGAAGAAUUAAUAGCUCGGAGGCCUUAAAGGUUGAAUAUUGACGAUCAGGACACACGGUUAGAAACCUGGAGAUGUUAGCUUUCCAUUGGUGUUGGAGCUCGGUAGUAUAAAUCGGCGGUGGUUGCCGGAAUUGGGCGAGAAGUUCAGCCUGCUCGCUGGACCUAUAAUGAAAUCUGCUGCCGCACCUGUUUUCGGAGCCGAAAUCGAAGGGUUUCGAAUGCGAAUUUGGAAUCGGUUCCUUCAGGAAACUCGUAGAGGACAUCGUAAACUAUAAGUAAGUGUUCAAUUGUAUCGAAUUAGAAUAUUUAAUAUACGUGUUUUAGAGGUCGGAAUCCGAUAACAGUAAUCUGCCGGAAACAGGGCAGUUUUGAGUAUCUUCUUGCGGGACUGUUUUCGAUAUGUUGGGAUCAUAAUUUGGGCUAUGUGCCUUCAUGAAACUUGUAGAUUAAACGUCUAGGUUUCAUUUGAUGUAUUAUUUGGACAAUUUGGAUAACCGUGCAAUUUGUUAUGAUUUUUCAAAAUGGCUGUGACAGUAAACGAAAUUAUCCGAAAAUCUGGCAGGUUUAUGUAUUCAUCUUUCGGGGUUGUUAUUGACGGGUUAUGUUGUUAAUUUGGGGUUAAAGUCUUUAGUAAAAUUGUAGAUACAGAUGUUAUCUUUAACUUUAUAUAUCAUUUAGGUCAUUCGGAUAAGUACGACGAUCGCAGUGAUUAUUUGAAUAGAGUGCCACGAGAAGCAAUUCUUAGUAUAUGUUUAAGAAAUUGACUAUGUCAUAUAGUGAAUGGUAGUAUGACUAUAUUACUGUUCGGAAUCUUAUUUAGUUCUAAUAUUUGCAUAGGUGUUGAGCGUAGUGAAGCUCUCACUCAAGGUUUAAGCUUAAAGAUGCUUCUAUAGCACUUCUAUAGCACUAGCGUUGGACUCCAGGUGAGAAACUAUGACUCCUUAUCCGAUUUCUUUCCUACCGCAUAAUAUCUCCUUUGUUUGAACCGAAUAUUUUGUAUAUAUUGAAGCCUUCGAUACCUUGAUUAUAUUUGUUCUUGAAAUAUGAUCCUUAAUGUUUUGCGAGCAUAUUGUUUUCUUGGCUCGAACUUGGAACCUUGAUCUUGUUCUUGAAAUCUUGAACUUGUCAAUUCUCUUGGUUGCUAUGUUCACGGCUAAUUCCUAUACUUGAUUCCCUGGCCUGAACAUUUUCCUUGAAUCGAUAUUGGAUAAUAUUUAUUCUCAAAAUCUUGUCUUGAAUGCUUUCUGAGAAUAAAUAUUUUGUUGGCUCGAACUUGAAUCUCAUGUUUAUUGAAUUCAUUGAGAUCUUGAUAUACUCGUUCUUGGAACCUGACAUAGGAACUUAUUGUUCUUCUUGAAUUCCAUAUUCACGACAAUUCUUUCAUUGGCUUGAAUUGAAAUCUGAACAUGUUCAUUAUCCUGAGACUUCGAUAUUCAAUUAUCGUGAUCGUGACCUAUCUUGUGAAUGAUUGACUUGAUUCUUGAAUUGAUUCUUGAAAUGAAUGACUUGAUAUUCCUAAAAGGAAUGAUAUUGAUUCUUGAACCUACUGUCCCCACCCUUGAGGACGCUCUUGGGGGAGCUGGGCCCUAGGACCAUUUCGGCAAGACGAUCGGGCAGUAUUGGGCUGACGAUGACUGGUCUCCCGAAUGGUACCUCCUGAUGGUUCGGACUCACGUUCGUUUGGAGUUAAAUGUUCUUGAGCCGAAUCGGCACGUUCCGGUCGUGCCUCUUGCUUGUUUCCGACCGAGUGGCCACUCGGGACGGAGUGGAGGGAUAAGGAUGUGAUAUGAUUUUAUUUGUUGGGAGUUACAAGGUUGGAGACCCCACCAAAUAUUGAACUCAAGCCGUACAUGUUACACUCUUGUACAUGUUACACUUCUGUUAAUGAAAUUCUUGUAAAGUCUCUCGUUAUAUGUUCUGUUCUGUUGAUUCUCAUCAUACUCAUGGAUCAUAUGUUUUUCACUAAGUCAUUCGGACUUAUUCGUUUCUCCUUUCUGAUAUUAAUGCGUAGGUAAAAGAAAGACUUAGACCUAAAUUUUCAUACUAAGAGUUAAAGCUCGUGUAUGCCUCCGAUUAGUCUCGUCGAGAGGUAUCUCUAUUUAUGUUCCGUAUAAGAAUCCUUUGAUCGAGAAUUUUGUAAUAGAGUACGUGGUG
Molecule: long non-coding RNA, 2483 nt
Filed under: Erythranthe guttata (spotted monkey flower)
Lineage: Eukaryota; Viridiplantae; Streptophyta; Magnoliopsida; Lamiales; Phrymaceae
Description: long non-coding RNA (EGUT_LNC001120)
Source: RNAcentral